GUGGCAGCUCUGUGCCAAACGUGGCUGGCAGUUCAUGAAGGGAUGGGGCGCCAACCUUGGGCGUGAUCUCCACGAACGCAAGAAGGCUCUGUUGACCGCUAUCAAGGCCCUGGACCUUCGGGCAGACGCGACCGGCCUCUCCCCCGAGGAGUGGCUCUCCGAUACAACCUGGAAGACCAACUCUCCAUCAUCAACACCGACGAGGAGGCCUAUGCGUCUCGGGGCUCCCAGAAAUGGGUAUUGAAGGGCGACGUGAACACGGCCUACUUUCAGGCCAUUGCGAAUGGCCGUCAUAGACGCAACACCAUCCCCCUCCUCUGGGAUGGCGCGACCCUUCUGCAGUCCCCAUGUGACAUACGGGCCCACGUCGACGGGUUCUACAAGAUCCUUUUUUCCUCCGCUCCUAGGAGCGGACUAUCUCUGGCCCAUGACUGCUGGGUCGGCCCCGAGCUAGUUUCCGCUGCUGAGAAUGCGGCCCUUACGGCUCCUUUCUCCGAGGGCGAGGUCUAGGCUGCCAUUAGAGGCAUGAACCCUGCCUCGGCCCCGGGUCCUGAUGGCCUCCCGGUUAAAUUCUUCCAGACCUUCUGGAAUGUGAUUAAGCCUGAGAUCAUGGCCAUCUUCGACGAGUUCUACGUUGGGUCCAUCGACCUCGGUCGCAUCAACUAUGGGAUCAUUUCGCUCAUCCCUAAAGUGCCAGGGGCAUCUGACAUCAGCCAGUUCCGGUCGAGCACGGUGAUCAAUGUGAUCUUCUGGAUUCUGGCAAAAGGAUACGCCAAUAGGGCGACCCUGCUUACGGAUCACAUUACCCACCCCAACCAGUCCACCUUCAUUCAAGGGUGGUAUAUCCUGGAUGGGGUGCUAGUCCUUCAUGAAGUCCUCCAUGAGGUCCGGUCUAAACACCUCAGGGUGGUCUUCCUGAAGAUCGAUUUCCAUAAGGCGUAUGACACUGUCAGCUGGCCCUUCCUUCGGGAAGUUUUGCUCCGGAAGGGCUUCGACGACCGUUGGAUCACCCGAGUGAUGCAAAUGGUGUCCUGUGGUCGCACCGCCGUGAACAUCAACGGGGAGAUCGGCCCCCUACUUUCCCACCCCUUGUGGGGUUAA
Molecule: ribosomal RNA, 1101 nt
Filed under: Triticum aestivum (bread wheat)
Lineage: Eukaryota; Viridiplantae; Streptophyta; Magnoliopsida; Poales; Poaceae
Description: partial small subunit ribosomal RNA
Source: RNAcentral